Molecule: transfer RNA, 82 nt
Filed under: Bacteroidales bacterium
Lineage: Bacteria; Pseudomonadati; Bacteroidota; Bacteroidia; Bacteroidales
Description: tRNA-Leu
Rfam family: tRNA
About the family: Transfer RNA (tRNA) molecules are approximately 80 nucleotides in length. Their secondary structure includes four short double-helical elements and three loops (D, anti-codon, and T loops).
Source: RNAcentral
GCGGACGUGACGUAAUUGGUAGCCGUACCAGAUUUAGGAUCUGGCGCCGUAAGGCAUGGGGGUUCGAGUCCCUUCGUCCGCA